Cannabis sativa is the source of this 1471-nucleotide long non-coding RNA. RefSeq lists it as uncharacterized. The transcript has 6 exons. NCBI's taxonomy places the organism in Eukaryota, Viridiplantae, Streptophyta, Magnoliopsida, Rosales, Cannabaceae. The record is from RefSeq and is a predicted model, not a curated record.
CCUUUUCUAAGUUUGUUUCUUUAUUUCUCUUUCACUUUAAUGUCUGCAAUCUAAGAUUUUUUUUUCUUCAAAUCUAUAGAUCUAUAAAUUAAUCUAAGAUAUUCUCUAUGCUUUGCUUUACUUCUCUUUAAUGGAAGAGAAGAAGCUAAAUAAAAACAAGAAAAAAUGGAGUAAGAUAACUACAAUUACUUUGGCCUAUUUGAGUUCUAUCGUUGUUUCUUCUAAUCAAAUAUUGUUUGUAAAGAAUAUUACUGCUAUAACUGCUAUAACUUCACUUAUAUCAUUAAUCAAUUAUUGUAUGUAAAGAGUGUACAGGUAGAUUUCUAAGAAACUGAUGAAAGUGAAAGUUCUACUUGUGAAUAAGGGUGUUUUUGUUCUCUGCAGAGUCUAGUCUAGGUUUAUGUUUUUCAUGUUUGAUUAAGAAAAUUAGCUUUCACUGCUGCCAAAAAAGAUAAAAAAAAAAAAGCUCCAAAGAGUAUUUUUAGAGAAGAAUUACAAGGAUUUAGAUACAUUGAACCCCAAAUUUCCUAUCUUGAUCCACAGAUAGAGUGCAGGGUCAUUGACAAGAAUGAUAGAUGAUGAAGAGAGAAAAGAUGCAUGCUUUGGUGGGUCGAUUAGCAGAGAAUGGAAGCCAAAAUUAUUGAUCCUGAUACUUCUAACCCAUUGCCUCCUAAUCAAAGAGGAGAGCUUUGGCUUAGAGGUCCCUUCAUUAUGAAAGAUUAUGUUGGUAAUGAAAGCAAGAAGUAUUCUAGCUAAAGCUCUUAGAUUUUCUCGUGGGAAUGGUUAUGUUUGCCAAAUUCUUGCAUUGCUUGAAGUUAAAUCGCAUUGAGCAGACUCGAUAUCUAUCUAUUUGAGCAAACCAGCGAGUGUAAUCCCAGAAGUUGUGGCAGUUGGCUGGCAUGGGCACAAAUGGAGAUGCAGCAGAAAAAUAACCUAGCUGCUAGACAACUCUUUGAGGAUCUACUGAAUUGGAACAUUUAGGGCUCGUUUGGAACGCCGUAUUAGGUCGUAUUGUAUUGUAUUGUAUUAUAUUGAAUUGGAUUAUAUAUCAUAUUUUUAUAUAAUACUAUGUUAACCUUUAAUUUAUACUAAAAUAUUAUAUAUUUAGGUGUCCAUAAAAGUUAAUACCACAUAUAGUUUUACAUAAAAAUAUUGCAUAAAAUACAAUUUAAUAUAAUACAAUACAAUACAAUACGACCUAAUACGGCAUUCCAAACGAGCCCUUACUUCACUCCCAUCUCACAUUGUUGAUGCAGCUGUGAUUAUGUAACUACUGUGAUCUUGAAAAGUUAUCACGCCAAGUUUUGUUUUUUUUUUUCUUUACUGAUUGAAGAGAUAGCUUCAAACAGAGGAUGUUUGGGUCUUUUGGAGAUUGAUGAGUUAUUUUUGUGAGAUACAUGUGUUCUCUCAAUUUCUAUACUGGCCCAUACUGUCAUUCACAAAUAUUUUAUUUAUUUAUUUUUUUUUUUGA